GACGAACGCUGGCGGCGUGCUUAACACAUGCAAGUCGAGCGGUAAGGCCCUUUCGGGGGUACACGAGCGGCGAACGGGUGAGUAACACGUGGGUGACCUGCCCUCAGCUCUGGGAUAAGCCUGGGAAACCGGGUCUAAUACCGGAUACGACUCCAUGACGCAUGUUGUGGGGUGGAAAGCCUUGUGCGGCUGAGGAUGGGCCCGCGGCCUAUCAGCUUGUUGGUGGGGUGAUGGCCACCAAGGCGACGACGGGUAGCCGGCCUGAGAGGGCGACCGGCCACACUGGGACUGAGACACGGCCCAGACUCCUACGGGAGGCAGCAGUGGGGAAUAUUGCGCAAUGGGCGGAAGCCUGACGCAGCGACGCCGCGUGGGGGA
RNAcentral lists this ribosomal RNA (378 nucleotides) under uncultured bacterium. Its description in RNAcentral is "bacterial SSU rRNA". It matches the Rfam family "Bacterial small subunit ribosomal RNA", at positions 28 to 408 of the family's 1533-position model. The record is from RNAcentral.